RNAcentral lists this ribosomal RNA (492 nucleotides) under uncultured bacterium. Its description in RNAcentral is "partial 16S ribosomal RNA". It matches the Rfam family "Bacterial small subunit ribosomal RNA", at positions 29 to 507 of the family's 1533-position model. The record is from RNAcentral.
AGUGAACGCUGGCGGUAGGCCUAACACAUGCAAGUCGAACGGCAGCACAGUAAGAGCUUGCUCUUACGGGUGGCGAGUGGCGGACGGGUGAGGAAUACAUCGGAAUCUACUUUUUCGUGGGGGAUAACGUAGGGAAACUUACGCUAAUACCGCAUACGACCUACGGGUGAAAGCAGGGGAUCUUCGGACCUUGCGCGAUUGAAUGAGCCGAUGUCGGAUUAGCUGGUUGGCGGGGUAAAGGACCACCAAGGCGACGAUCCGUAGCUGGUCUGAGAGGAUGAUCAGCCUCACUGGAACUGAGACACGGUCCCGACUCCUACGGGAUGCCGCAGUUGGGAAUAUUGGGCAAUGGGCGCAAGCCUGAUCCAGCCAUACCGCGUGGGUGAAGAAGGCCUUCGGGUUGUAAAGCCCUUUUGUUGGGAAAGAAAAGCGGCAGGUUAAUACCCCGCUGUUCUGACGGUACCCAAAGAAUAAGCACCGGCUAACUUCGUG